CGGAGCCGUCCUUGUGGCUUUUAAGCCUUCUUGGUUUAAAUUCUUUGAUGGAAUAAAAUGAUUAAUAAUAUAUUCUCUAAUUACUGAAAAGGGAACUCCUACCACAUGGCCAAUUGUGUUUGGUGUCCCUGAAACCCUAAUUGGGAGAUUGACUGGAAGAUUCCUAGUUGAGGAAUGGUGAUGGUAUUCUUUUAUCCACUUUGAGAGAAACUUUGAGAAUGUGAACAGCCACAAAUUUAGAAGUUUCUUUUUUUGCUUUGCUAUAUACAUGGACAAUAAUCCUGUACCUUGCCUGUGAUCUUCCAGAACACAGAUUGGGUUUGUUAUCAGUUAUAUUGAUGGGUUGUCCUCAGAUGGUUGAAGACUGAGGCUGCAGGGAUGAUUGAAAUCUGUAGGCGGAAGAGACAACUGCAAUUCCUGGAGGUGUUAGAACUCUGCAGUGUUUUGGAGGUCUGGUGCUGCCAUUUAUAUUUCUCUUCCCUGGAACUCUUUCUUCAUAACAGAUUUUGAACUAAAAAUAAAGAAAAUCUCCCAUACUCUGUUAGGAGCUUGAUUUUUCAAAGAAAUCUUGCCACCUCCUUUGAGAAAAUUUCUAAUGAAUUUUACACCCUUUCCUCCAUUUAUUAUUUCUACCAA
RNAcentral lists this long non-coding RNA (636 nucleotides) under Homo sapiens (human). Its description in RNAcentral is "HSALNT0319095". The record is from RNAcentral. Lineage: Eukaryota; Metazoa; Chordata; Mammalia; Primates; Hominidae.